RNAcentral lists this unclassified non-coding RNA (210 nucleotides) under Hevea brasiliensis (rubber tree). Lineage: Eukaryota; Viridiplantae; Streptophyta; Magnoliopsida; Malpighiales; Euphorbiaceae. The record is from RNAcentral.
UUUUUAUUUAGAAAUUUUAUGUAUCCAAAAACUUUUUCAGUUAAAUGUGUUCUCAUCAGACUUUCGUUUCCCAUCUCAUCAACUUACUUUGUUAAGAUAUUGGGAUCUCUGAUGAUAUUUUAAGUUUUUAACUGUUAACUUUUCUAUUUAAUGUUGGUCUAUACCUUCCAAUUGGUCACUCUCACCUGCUAAAGUUGUCUUCAAAUCAUG